AGGGAUUUAGCUCAGUGGCCUAAGUGCCUGCCUAGCAAGCAGUAGGUUGUGAGUUCAAUCCCUG
This 64-nucleotide transfer RNA is filed under the name Cavia porcellus (domestic guinea pig). It matches the Rfam family "tRNA". Rfam says of the family: Transfer RNA (tRNA) molecules are approximately 80 nucleotides in length. Their secondary structure includes four short double-helical elements and three loops (D, anti-codon, and T loops). The record is from Rfam by way of RNAcentral. Lineage: Eukaryota; Metazoa; Chordata; Mammalia; Rodentia; Caviidae.